UCCUCCCUCAAACCUCGGGUUUGGUGUUGGACCCAAGUUGUGUGAACAACUGGUCUCAAAGACAAUGACGGCGUCCGUGGGACCCUCGGUGCAACGAGCUUUUUAACGAGCACGCGUCGAGUUUCAAGGACCUUCCGGGCCGGUCUCCUUCUUUUAUUUACAAA
Molecule: unclassified non-coding RNA, 164 nt
Filed under: uncultured Capronia
Lineage: Eukaryota; Fungi; Ascomycota; Eurotiomycetes; Chaetothyriales; Herpotrichiellaceae
Description: sequence contains ITS2
Source: RNAcentral